AUGAUUGGCUUGGAUAGGAGUGAUAGCUUCACAUAUCUUGUGGAAAGAAUCGUGAACAGGCUGAAAGGUUGGAAGGAGAAAAUAUUAUCACUUGGAGGGAAGGAAAUUUUAUUAAAGGCGGUAAUCCAAUCAAUUCCUGUGUUUGCUAUGGCAGUGUUUAAAAUCCCAAAUUGUAAGGAGAUUACAGAUGCCAUGGCGGGUUUCUGGUGGGGUGAUACCGAGGAAGAGAAAAAAAUGCAUUGGCUGGCUUGGUGGUGGUUGUGUCUCCCAAAGGUAAAUGGUGGUAUGGGGUUUAGAGACUUGCAUGCUUUUAACUUAGCAAUGUUGGCCAAGCAGAGUUGGCGAAUGUGUACCCACCCUAAAACACUUUGUGCAACGGUCCUACGAGCAAAGUAUUUU
Molecule: ribosomal RNA, 399 nt
Filed under: Triticum aestivum (bread wheat)
Lineage: Eukaryota; Viridiplantae; Streptophyta; Magnoliopsida; Poales; Poaceae
Description: partial small subunit ribosomal RNA
Source: RNAcentral